Molecule: ribosomal RNA, 1091 nt
Filed under: Lepeophtheirus sp. P153
Lineage: Eukaryota; Metazoa; Arthropoda; Copepoda; Siphonostomatoida; Caligidae
Description: SSU rRNA
Rfam family: Eukaryotic small subunit ribosomal RNA
Source: RNAcentral
CGUAUUUUAAAGUUGUUGCGGUCAAAAAGCUCGUAGUUGGAUUUCGGUGAGUAAGGAGGGGUUCAUCUUGUUUGAUGUAACUGCUGUCUUGUCUCGCGUUUAUUUCGGCAGAGGUUUCGAAGGUGCCUUUAACAGGGUGUCUCGGGAUACUGUCGGGUUUACUUUGAAAAAAUUAGAGUGCUCAAAGCAGGCUUUUAAAAGCUUGAAUAUUAGUGCAUGGAAUAAUGAAAUAGGAAGUCGUUUCUAUUUUGUUGGUUUUCAGAAAUCGACUUAAUGAUUAAUAGGGACAGUCGGGGGCAUUAGUAUUCAGACGACAGAGGUGAAAUUCUUGGACCGUCUGAAGACUAACUACUGCGAAAGCAUUUGCCAAGAAUGUUUUCAUUAAUCAAGAACGAAAGUUAGAGGUUCGAAGGCGAUCAGAUACCGCCCUAGUUCUAACCAUAAACGAUGCCAGCUAGCGAUCCGCAGUUGUUUAUUUUUACGACUCUGCGGGAAGCUUCCGGGAAACCAAAGCUUUUGGGUUCCGGGGGAAGUAUGGUUGCAAAGCUGAAACUUAAAGGAAUUGACGGAAGGGCACCACCAGGAGUGGAGCCUGCGGCUUAAUUUGACUCAACACGGGAAAUCUCACCAGGCCCGGACACUGGAAGGAUUGACAGAUUGAGAGCUCUUUCUCGAUUCGGUGGGUGGUGGUGCAUGGCCGUUCUUAGUUGGUGGAGUGAUUUGUCUGGUUAAUUCCGAUAACGAACGAGACUCUGUCCUGCUAAAUAGUUUCAAUGUCAUUUUUUUUGCAUUGAAAAUUCUUCUUAGAGGGACUGGCGGCGUCUAGCCGCACGAGAUUGAGCAAUAACAGGUCUGUGAUGCCCUUAGAUGUUCUGGGCUGCACGCGCGCUACACUGAAGGGAUCAGCGUGUCUUCCCUGACCGAGAGGUUCGGGUAACCCGUUGAACCCCCUUCGUGGUAGGGAUCGGGGCUUGCAAUUAUUCCCCGUGAACCAGGAAUUCCCAGUAAGCGUAAGUCAUAAGCUUACGUUGAUUACGUCCCUGCCCUUUGUACACACCGCCCGUCGCUACUACCGAUUGAACGUUUUAGUG